Molecule: ribosomal RNA, 301 nt
Filed under: uncultured bacterium
Lineage: Bacteria
Description: partial 16S ribosomal RNA
Rfam family: Bacterial small subunit ribosomal RNA
Source: RNAcentral
CGUAGCCGCGGGAAAACGGAGGGUGCAAGCGUUAUCCGGAUUUAUUGGGUUUAAAGGGUCCGUAGGCGGAUCUGUAAGUCAGUGGUGAAAUCUCACAGCUUAACUGUGAAACUGCCAUUGAUACUGCAGGUCUUGAGUAAAUUUGAAGUGGCUGGAAUAAGUAGUGUAGCGGUGAAAUGCAUAGAUAUUACUUAGAACACCAAUUGCGAAGGCAGGUCACUAAGAUUUAACUGACGCUGAUGGACGAAAGCGUGGGGAGCGAACAGGAUUAGAGACCCCUGUAGUCCCUGUCUCUUAUACA